CCGGGGAAGAAAUCUUUGAAGUGAUAUUUGACCUGAGUCUAGAGAACAAGGAGGAACUAGCCAUGUGAAAAUGGAGGACAGAGAGGUGGAGAACCUUUGAGAUUCGGAUCUGAAAACGGUAUGUGCAAAGGCCCUGAGGCAGGAAAGAACUUGGUCUUGAAGAAGUGAAAGAAGCCAGUGUGGCUGGAAGGCAAUAGAGUGUGGAGACCAUGGCUGUAGCUCCAGCAACCGUCCUUGUGUGCGAAAGGAAGCAGCGCUGUGCUGCUAGUGUUUUAACAAGUUCUCCGGCGGGAGGGACCCUGAUUUGAAGCAUUUGCCCAUUUCCGUGGUGUAAAUAUGCUCACCGUGGCUGAUAUCAAGCUGCCAACUGGAAGUCACUGAAGAUGGCGUUGGGAAGAGAUGCACACAUGAAGUAGCUGGCUCCAGCUGUGCACUGGUGGCCGUGUGCAACCACAAUAGCAGCCUGGGUCUUUGACACCGUGGAGCCUCCAUAGUAACUCUGAAUUUCCUCCCUCCUGGCUUUCUUCAUUUAAGGGGAAAAUAAACUUCUUGCUUGUUCAAGAACUCUAUUUGGCUUGGCUUGGAACAACAUUGAAAUACAGUCACAUCAUCGGGGAAGAGGCGGUGUGAGGGAGAGAACAUCCUCAUCGACCUUGAUGUUUCAGCUCUCCCAGAAGUGGAAUCUUGGACCAGUCAAUCAGCACUACUAGCGAGGAAACCUGCCUGAUGGACCUCGGCCAUCCCCUGUAGGAAGGUGACCUUGCCACGACUGUUCACUUCUUGC
RNAcentral lists this long non-coding RNA (784 nucleotides) under Equus asinus (donkey). RNAcentral describes it as "lncRNA (ENSEASG00005030283.1)". Lineage: Eukaryota; Metazoa; Chordata; Mammalia; Perissodactyla; Equidae. The record is from RNAcentral.